RNAcentral lists this ribosomal RNA (702 nucleotides) under Allotrochosina schauinslandi. RNAcentral's name for it is "partial 28S ribosomal RNA". The stretch from base 475 to 702 matches the Rfam family "Eukaryotic large subunit ribosomal RNA", at positions 665 to 861 of the family's 3401-position model. Lineage: Eukaryota; Metazoa; Arthropoda; Arachnida; Araneae; Lycosidae. The record is from RNAcentral.
GUAAUGGGUGGGCCUCGAAUCCUGGGCGGAGGAUUCAGUCGGAGGGCGGUCGCCCCGUCGAAAAAUCGGGCAGGGUUCCCGAGACGGGGCGUCCGACCGAGAGUUUCCGUCGAGCCAGACGCAUUUGUCUCCCGCUUGAAGGACGCCGCAGCCUGUUUGGCAGUGCAAACGUGACGGCCUGGAAGGCGGGCGACGGCAGGUGGCCGGUGGCGGGCCCAGUGCACGCUAUCGGUUGUUAGCCGGCCCGUCGGUGGCACGUCGCCAGACAGAGGUAUCGAGAUGCCCCCAGGGGCGUUGACAUCUCCCCUCCACAGAGGGCGGGACAGAACGUCGCGAGCGAAGGCAGCCGCGCGGCCGCACUCCGUCGGAGUGGGCCAGCGUCUAGUCGUUGCCGGCGGGGACGUCGGUUUUGUAGGAGGUCGGAGGUUAGCGGCGAGUAGGUCGGUCACCCACCCGACCCGUCUUGAAACACGGACCAAGGAGUUUAACAUGUGCGCGAGUCAAUGGGUCUUGAAUAAGCCCAGAGGCGCAAUGAAAGCGAAGGUCGGCUCAACGUCGACCGAGUCGGGAUCCCGCCUCCCCGUGGGGCGGGCGCACCGACGACCCGUCCUUUGCGGCUUGCCGCUUGGGCGGAGUGAGAGCGUACACGUUGGGACCCGAAAGAUGGUGAACUAUGCCCGGACAGGAUGAAACCAGAGGAAA